UUAGGCCCUAUAUUGGUGCGAGAGACAAGGAGAACCGAAGCCAUCCCAGUGCACACCCAGCUUCUCUCCAGUCUGUGCUGUUGCCCAGCGCCACAUUGCAGGAUUAGAUUGGAGAUAUGCGCUCCUUGAGAAGAAGGGCUUUUCCACCUGCAUGACACAGGGCUGGAAUACUUGUGGAGCGCAGUGUCAGCCACUCCCACACCCGGUGAGUUCCUGACAGCGUAGUGUCAUCAGAUCAUUAGUACUCGCUGCCCGUCUUAAGAGGAAAUGCUUUUCACGGCAGGGUGAUGGAUGCCACAAUUCCCCUGGCCCCAGCCUACACCCAAUUCCCUUACAAUCAUCACCAACGAGCCCACAUCAAACGAGGACUUCACCCUGUAGGAGCCGUGAAUAGGGUGAAAUAUAAAGAGAAUGAUUUUAUAUGACUAAUAGUAAUUGGACAUUAUUUAUAUUAAUGUUAAAUAUUGUUUGGUGUUAUUAUUAUUGUUGAUUAUUUGUAUAAUUAUGGUUAUUUGUUGGGAGCUGGUGACAUGGAUAGGGUGGGGACGUUUAUUUAGGUACCUGCUGCUUACCUGCACGUAUGCAGUUGUUGAAGGAGAGGGUGUGUGGGAUGCGGUGUUUUCUGUUGACCGUAAACUUGAUCGCUGUGAGCCAUACACUACACCCACAUGGCAUUCAGAGCAGCAUCACUAAACGAACCGAAUUAUGUUAACAGAAAAGUAUUUCAUUCAAUCAACAUAUAAUUUGCAAUGCACACCUGUUUGAGUGAACUCUGGACAUCUGACAGAACCAGAAUCAGCCUGUGAGGCGUUCAGGGCCACCUGUAAGCGUGUUCUCUAUCAAUAAGCAGACAUUCAACAGGUGAGACUCUCUCCUGUGCCAAAUACGAGGGAAGUUGCUUUCACCAGUGCUGCCAGUUAGUCACUAAAACAUGUUCUUAUUGUAUUUGCUGGUGACUGUUUCAGUGUGUGUAAAGUAAAGGUUUCCCUUCUUAUGUGGUGUUCAGUUCUGAUUUGAAACACUGCAGCUGCCUUUCAGUGAUUCAACUCUGUGAUGACUGUUUUUUCUCUCUGUUUUACAGGGAUACACACAAUUUCAGUCCAUGGAGAACCAACGUACCUGACUGGUACUGAAGGUAGCAACAUCACGCUACCGGACAAAGUGAUGGAAUCUGGGACUCUCUCAUGGGGGGGGGUAUCUCGUCUUGUGGUGUCAAACGGGAUGAUCGGCAAAAGAUUGGACAACAGGUUAUUGUGGAACAACUCUACUGGAGAGAUUACAAUCACUGAUCUUGGGAAAGAUGACACUCGGGAGCUGAUUCUUAACAUCAGAAACCGUUCCCCUGUGAUAUACAGCCUGACUGUCCAUGCUGCUGAAGUGACUCCUGCCGUGAAUCCUGCAGUGACUCCUGCAGUGAAUCCUGCAGUGUUCCUGUCCCUGCUCCUGCUCCUGGUCAUCCCAGGAUUUUGAGUUUAUUUUUGUUUCAUAAGAGAAGAGCCAGAAUCAUCAGUGAUCUGACAGG
Stegastes partitus (bicolor damselfish) is the source of this 1522-nucleotide long non-coding RNA. RefSeq lists it as uncharacterized. The transcript has 2 exons. The record is from RefSeq and is a predicted model, not a curated record. Lineage: Eukaryota; Metazoa; Chordata; Actinopteri; Pomacentridae.